RNAcentral lists this ribosomal RNA (248 nucleotides) under uncultured bacterium. RNAcentral's name for it is "partial 16S ribosomal RNA". It matches the Rfam family "Bacterial small subunit ribosomal RNA", at positions 524 to 769 of the family's 1533-position model. The record is from RNAcentral.
UACGUAGGGCGCAAGCGUUAUCUGGAAUUAUUGGGCGUAAAGAGCUCGUAGGCGGUUUGUCGCGUCUGCUGUGAAAACCCGAGGCUCAACCUCGGGCCUGCAGUGGGUACGGGCAGACUAGAGUGGCGGUAGGGGAGAUUGGAAUUCCUGGUGUAGCGGUGGAAUGCGCAGAUAUCAGGAGGAACACCAAUGGCGAAGGCAGAUCUCUGGGCCGUAACUGACGCUGAGGAGCGGAAAGCAUGGGGAGC